CCGAGUUCGGACGAGGACCGCACACGGUUCAUCAUUUUAUUUUUUUUAACGAGACGCUUGUGUAACCGAGGAUUAGCAGUGAGCUAAAUUUUCUUGGUCGAUCGAGAGGUCCGCUCGUUAAAAAUAUGAAGGCUUAGGAUUUUGUUCACCGUCAUUCAACUACGUUUCAAGAUACCAACACGACAUCGGAACGUCUUGUACUCUCUUACCAAGCAAAGAGAAGAUGAAGCAAGAGGCGAGGAUGAGAUCUCGAAGAGCGUAUACAUAUAGUAGUACGAGAAGCUGCACCGCCCGAAGGAAGGAAAGCGGUUCGAGUUCUCCGCUCGUCUCACUCUCUCGACCACGGUUCUCCUCGUUCUUACUUGGUGCACGUGCAUGUACGCGUGCGUGGCCAUCGUUCUCGCGAUCCGAGACGUCAGAAGACGAAGGGAGCUAAGAAAGAAGCCUCGACUCGCCACCAGGAUUCUCGGAGAUCCGGAGAUGGUAGCAGCGUCAGGGCCCGAGGCGGCGCGAGAUGAGCCCUUUGAAGCAUCCUGGCGUGCGUUCCGUCAUGGCUACUUACACUGCGUGGUACUACGCGUACAUGCGCCGACGUGUGUUGGCAGGACAUCGCGGUAGCCACGCCGUAGAGAUGGGAUUGGACCGAUAGGCUGCGUGUCGAAAAUAGAAAUAUAAUCUGAUAGGCUCAUUGUGCCUCGAGCCACUAUCUGCCACUACCAACGACGUAUCGUACAUUGCUACCUCGGUCAUCUUUCUCCUUGUCCUUCUAUCCCUUUC
Long non-coding RNA from Ceratina calcarata, 777 nucleotides. RefSeq lists it as uncharacterized. Lineage: Eukaryota; Metazoa; Arthropoda; Insecta; Hymenoptera; Apidae. The record is from RefSeq and is a predicted model, not a curated record. The transcript is spliced from 4 exons.